Molecule: ribosomal RNA, 465 nt
Filed under: uncultured Klebsiella sp.
Lineage: Bacteria; Pseudomonadati; Pseudomonadota; Gammaproteobacteria; Enterobacterales; Enterobacteriaceae
Description: bacterial SSU rRNA
Rfam family: Bacterial small subunit ribosomal RNA
Source: RNAcentral
CCUACGGGGGGCUGCAGUGGGGAAUAUUGCACAAUGGGCGCAAGCCUGAUGCAGCCAUGCCGCGUGUGUGAAGAAGGCCUUCGGGUUGUAAAGCACUUUCAGCGGGGAGGAAGGCGGUGAGGUUAAUAACCUCAUCGAUUGACGUUACCCGCAGAAGAAGCACCGGCUAACUCCGUGCCAGCAGCCGCGGUAAUACGGAGGGUGCAAGCGUUAAUCGGAAUUACUGGGCGUAAAGCGCACGCAGGCGGUCUGUCAAGUCGGAUGUGAAAUCCCCGGGCUCAACCUGGGAACUGCAUUCGAAACUGGCAGGCUAGAGUCUUGUAGAGGGGGGUAGAAGUCCAGGUGUAGCGGUGAAAUGCGUAGAGAUCUGGAGGAAUACCGGUGGCGAAGGCGGCCCCCUGGACAAAGACUGACGCUCAGGUGCGAAAGCGUGGGGAGCAAACAGGAUUAGAUACCCUUGUAGUC